RNAcentral lists this ribosomal RNA (253 nucleotides) under uncultured bacterium. Its description in RNAcentral is "partial 16S ribosomal RNA". It matches the Rfam family "Bacterial small subunit ribosomal RNA", at positions 524 to 776 of the family's 1533-position model. The record is from RNAcentral.
UACGGAGGGUGCAAGCGUUAUCCGGAAUCAUUGGGUUUAAAGGGUCCGCAGGCGGUCUUAUAAGUCAGUGGUGAAAGCCUACAGCUCAACUGUAGAACUGCCAUUGAUACUGUAAGACUUGAAUUCGAUCGAAGUGGGCGGAAUAUGACAUGUAGCGGUGAAAUGCUUAGAUAUGUCAUAGAACACCGAUAGCGAAGGCAGCUCGCUAGGUCUGGAUUGACGCUCAGGGACGAAAGCGUGGGGAGCAAACAGG